Molecule: unclassified non-coding RNA, 207 nt
Filed under: Kurtzmanomyces sp.
Lineage: Eukaryota; Fungi; Basidiomycota; Agaricostilbomycetes; Agaricostilbales; Chionosphaeraceae
Description: partial internal transcribed spacer region
Rfam family: Eukaryotic small subunit ribosomal RNA (bases 1-46)
Source: RNAcentral
AAGUCGUAACAAGGUCUUCGUAGGUGAACCUGCGGAGGGAUCAUUAGUGAUUUCCAGGGGAGUCCCUCUUCAUCAGAGAAGGCCCCGUCACUAUACCUUACACUUGUGCAUUUGUCCUUUUUUUUAACUCUGUGCAUUUGAAGCCGUCUUGUGAUAAAACCUUUGAUAAACGAAGAAAAACUUUCAGCAAUGGAUCUCUUGGCUCUC